Molecule: non-coding RNA, 201 nt
Filed under: Proteiniclasticum ruminis
Lineage: Bacteria; Bacillati; Bacillota; Clostridia; Eubacteriales; Clostridiaceae
Description: T-box sequence
Rfam family: T-box leader
About the family: Uncharged tRNA acts as the effector for transcription antitermination of genes in the T-box leader family.
Source: RNAcentral
AUAUAAACGAUGAAAAGAACCAGUAUGGAAGUCCUGCCUUCAUAGAGAGAGGGGAUUGGUGAAAGCCCUCAAGGAAAGUUUCCAGAACCUGUCUUGGAGUUUCUCAACCAUUUGAGCGGGGAAAGCCGUUAUACUUUAGAGUGGAUACGUUAGGAGAAGUAUCAAUAAGGGUGGUACCGCCGAAGAGAUUUGGCCCCUUUU